UGUCAAAUUUUUUCAAAGCCCCAAGGCCAACCCUGGCCUUUUCUACACUGAGGCCCAUUUUGUUUGACCCACCUUUGAGGGGGCUUUUUCCAGAGCCCCUAGCCCCCAAAACCCCAGAAAAUGGGUUGGGAUUAAAUUAGGGCCGGGUUAGCCCCUAGUCCCAAAACCCCAUUUUUCUCUGUUGACCCUGGACAUCCUGUUUUCUUGACAAACGUUUACCUUUAAGAGCUCCACAACAAUCUACUGAGACGACAGCGCAUAGCAGUACAGGCGGCGGCAACACAGCACUUGACGGCAACGCACGGUGGUAUAGGCGGCGACGAUAUCAACGAUCGAGUGGUUGAAAGAAGAAUCGUGAACGAGAGCUUUGAAAUUAAGGAAGCACUACCGGUUGCAAGUUAUGAAGGCAUGUACUAUAAUUACUUCAGCAUAGGUAUUGCACUUUUGAUUGAUACUCCACGGGAUAAAAACAUAACGGGAUUUGGAUCUAUUUAAUAUACUUAUGUUGUGUUGAUAAAGCUUGCGGAGAAAAAACAUCUCUGGAUGUCAAUGAGCAAUGACUCUGGUGUUGUCUUGUACUGAAUCUGACAAAUGGAACAUUGUUUAUUUUUAUCUUAGU
Molecule: long non-coding RNA, 619 nt
Organism: Vigna angularis (adzuki bean)
Lineage: Eukaryota; Viridiplantae; Streptophyta; Magnoliopsida; Fabales; Fabaceae
Exons: 4
Source: RefSeq, a predicted model, not a curated record